Molecule: transfer RNA, 76 nt
Filed under: archaeon
Lineage: Archaea
Also listed under: 1 other name
Description: tRNA-Thr
Rfam family: tRNA
About the family: Transfer RNA (tRNA) molecules are approximately 80 nucleotides in length. Their secondary structure includes four short double-helical elements and three loops (D, anti-codon, and T loops).
Source: RNAcentral
GCCCUGGUGGCUCAGCUGGUAGAGCGUUGCCUUGGUAAGGCAGAGGUCGCGAGUUCAAAUCUCGCCCAGGGCUCCA